GAAACAAAUAUAACGGUCACUUACUUUAUACGUGCCAACACAACUCUCAGCCAGGACUGUAAAGACAACUAUGUAAAGAAAAGUGCUACAGUGGGUACGGAAAGUAUUCAGACCCCCUUAAAUUUUUCACUCUUUGUUAUAUUGCAGCCAUUUGCUAAAAUCAUUUAAGUUCAUUUUUUUUCCUCAAUGUACACACAGCACCCCAUAUUGACAGAAAAACACAGAAUUGUUGACAUUUUUGCAGAUUUAUUAAAAAAGAAAACCUGAAAUAUCACAUAUCACUAUUUGAUUACCGAGUGCAACCAUUCUACGUCAUCGCCCUAGAACGCAAACAAAAUGGCGCCGCCCAUUGUCCAAAUAUAUAAUGGAUUUUUUAAAUAACGCAGAAUUUUUAAAUUCUACUACAUAUUUCAGUAAGAGACAUCAUUUAUGUUAUAUUAAGCCAUACAAGUCUUAACACCAGGGGAUCCCUUUAAAAAAAAUUGCAAUGUUUUAUCAAUAGCCUGACAAUUUUUGCCAUGUUUUUUUUUUUUUUUCCAAGUAAAAUUAGCUAUAACUCAGGAUAGGAAUGAUAUAUCAACAAAUCCCUCUGGAAAAGCCUUCAGAAUAUAGUUCAGUAUAAGACUGGAAAAGCUGGUGCUUGUAGGUGCUACUGAAGUGGAUAUAUCUGACUCUGAGUGUGAGAAAAAAAACUCAUUUUGAGAAAACAGCCUUUAAAGUUUUAUAUUGCAUAAUUCCAUACAUUUCUAAUGACACCGACAACCUACAAUCAAAAUAUAUAUUAAAUUAAUUAAUAUCAGUAAGUGUAUAAUAUUUAAAACACAUUGAAAUAAAUGAAUAAACUAUUAAUAGCAAUAGAAGAUAACUACUUCUCUUGUCAGAGAAGAGUCAACAUUUUUUGAGUGCAAUUCACACCCACAAAAUUGUCCGAAUGCGCCACGUGCAACAUGGAUUGGGUCUUCUGACCUUUUGAUUUUGAUUAAUAUGCGAAAUAUGAGAGAGUUAAGACAGUGCUUAUUUUGAAGACAAAGAGGGGUGGAGGAGGGGCUCUCUGCUCGUUCUCUCUGUCAAUCAGUUAACAUGUGCUCUAUCACAAGCACAGAAGUCAUCUACAUCACUCAUAGAUCACAAUAACUGAUCAAACCAGGCUUUGACGGGACAAAAAUUCGUUUUGGCGGCCGCUAAAAAAAAAUAAACGCAGGAAAAACCCUGGAAUGUUAACUUUUGGUGAUUUACGGUAGAAAUCUAAAGGCGCAAGUUGACAAAAUGUAAUGAAAUAACCACCUUAAUGUGUAAUGUUGACAAUUUUGACAUGAAAGCUUACAUGUUAAGGGAGCAAACUGGCCCAAAAUCUCAAAAUUGACCACUGCAUGAAAAAACCGAUGUUUUCACCUGCCGUGUCUCGCCUUAAAAGGUGAAUUCGAAGUGCAGCAGUUAAACUCCGCUUCUGAGUGUACGCGCGCUCCCGCGGCCAGGGGAUGCAAAUCCUGGCGGGGAUAUGUGACUUAAUUGGCACGACACCCUAGCCGAUAAAACUUUGCUGACAUUCACAUGGACUUUCAUCAGUGUUUUUGCUUUAACUGUAAAUGCAACAAGUGCAAACAUUAAAAUUCCACCAGCUGGUAAAAGCGGAGAAAUUGGCAUUUUACCGCUUUUUUAACAGCUUGCUAAUACCUGUUCGACUGCCUUGCUAAGAAGUUUACAACCAAAUACUUAAACAAUAUAUUUAAGUCAACCACUCAAAACAAGCUCAAACGCUACUGACUUAAUAAAUUAAGUCGUCAACGCUUUAACCAGGUUUAAGCUACAUUUGCUAAUGCACAAACAUUUGCUAAAAGCUAGUGUUCCUAUCCUCGUAACUAAUACUUUCCAAAAAAGCUUUUGGUUAACAUCAUGCGGUAAAAUCAUCCAAGUUUAUUAUACUCUUACCUGCCUUAUUUUGUUUACACGACACCGCUGAACUCGAGGAUCCUUAACGGACAGCAGACAGUACUACUGAAAAGGCGGCAAAGUUGUUGCUGGGCAGAUUCUUUUGCUCGGCGAUGGGGGUGGAGCUUUCCAGAUGUGCGCUGCACAGAGUGCGCACUGCUUACGGUUUGAACAUUUUGUGGGGAAACCGUUAGCAAACUUGUCUUUUGAAACUCGUACAACGUUCUUAAGACAACUGUUUAGCUGCAGUCUGCAAUUUGGCGAUCUAGCGGUUAAUAAACAGAAUUCGUCUUGCGGAAGAACACUGCAGCCGGAGCUACUUCUCCUGUUUGUCUAUGACGAGUCACGCAGGGACUUUGCUCCUCCGCAGCGAUUCCUACUUGACCGGCCUGAAAUAGUCCCAAUAUAAACACUUAUUAUAAAUGUAUAAUGAUUCGGGGUAAGACAAAAACACGGUUAGGAAAAUGGAUUGUUGGAUGGAUGGAAAGAAAAUGAAUGUUGUACAUUCUCAUUAUAUAAUUUUUGUAAAUCUUAAAACACAAAAAAAGUUACAGACAGCAGCUAAUCUAAUAAAAUUUGUAUAAAAAGUGGACCUAGCCCAGAGCCUAUAUUGUUAAAAAUAGCAUCCAUGUCUGACACAAUCAAUUUUGAAUGGAGCCCUUUAGCCAAUCUACUGCCCAUGUGGGGCCCAACAACAAAGCCCACUCUGAGCCCAUGCCCAGCCGAAGCCCAACUAGCCCAAGCGAGGCCCAUGUGGGCCCCAACUGGACGUGUUUGCAGGGAUGUUGUUUCUUCUGCAGAACACAAAAGGAGAUAUUUCCUGUUGUACUACUAGCAAGAUAUUUUAAGACUGCUCUGAAAUCAGGAAUUGCAGGAAAUGAACCUGGACUGACAUUUUUAUCGGAUUAACAUCAGUUUGCACAUAUUUAACCCUUUCAAGCGUGAGUUUAAAAUAUUCUAACUGACCCCCCAGAGUGAGUUUUUUUAAGGCGACCGUUAUUUUAGAACGUUUGCCCUUAUUGUUUCCAUGGCGACGCGUCUUGCGUGUCACGAGCGCUGAACACAGCCACAAUAACACUGUAUGACAGAUGGAUCGCUAUUAUUUUGUUUUUCCUUUUUUAUUUAAAAUAUUCGCAAACUUGCUUACCAUGUCAUCAACCAUAUGAUAUUCCGAUUCUCAAAUAUGUGUAAGUGAGUGUGUUCUGUCGUUUAAAAACCUUUAUAAACGAUCUUUAUCUUGAUCUAUAAUGCGAGAUGGGCGCCGCCAUCUUAGUUUGCGCUGCAGUUCAGAGUCCUGUCAGUCGGAUUUACAGCAUGUGAAUUCAUCAGUUUCUCCCGAAAUAUAUGCAAGUGGCUGGUGAACUGGAAGAAUAAUAGAGUAAACUUUAUAGUUACUUAGGCCCAUUAUGUGUGUCUGAUGUGAAUAAAUGUCGGCAAAUUAUAUUUGAAUGGAUUGUUAUUACUGCUUCCACUGAUGUUUGACAUCAGUGUGUAUUUUAUAAACUCUAAAUGUAUUGUUUUAAUGGUGCCGCUCAAAGGGUUAAAUCCAGAAUUUAGCUGGUUAACUCCAGAAUUUUUAACUGUAAGGCCAGUUUUUACCAUAUAACCAAGGAACCAAGGGUUUCAGCCUAAAAAUUAGAGGAGUCACCAGAUACUAUCUCACUUCAGAAAACAGAAGUCAGUAUCUGAGGCAACUCAGGAACAUGACAGGGAAUGAGUCUACAGAGUAUUUCAGUCAUCAAGAUUUACAGAAGGCCAGGAUAGAGAAGGAUAUGGCAGAUGUAAAUGCCUUUGUAGAACUUAUGGAGAGAAGCUGGGUAAACCCCCUAGGUCCAGAUCAGUCUGAUAUCAUUAGCAUCUCCACAGGAAUGGCUGUGUGACCAGACAUAGCCAGUGAUCUGCUGCAAGCUCACCAGACUGGAGAGCAGGCAUAUCAGACGUUCAGAAGUGAACGUUUAGAAAAAGAGUCACCUGCAACCAAGUUCCAUGACAAAAUGAGAAAACAGAAUCUGAAGACAUUCUCAAGCAUCAAGACAAGUGCUAGAGUAAAACAAGCACAGAAGAACAAAAGGUGUCCAUUGCCUUGGGCACUCUCAAAUCCAGAUGGCUCAUUGCGGAACACUAAUAAUGCUGCUCUUGCAAGAGAGUUAGAGAAAUCAGCAUCAUCAGUUGAAGAUAUUGGAGAACACUCUGCAUGCAUCAUUGAUGGAAUGAGCCUUGUUCAGAAACUAAAAGGUGAUGGCAAGUCUUUUGGAGAGAUUGCUGGUUCUGCGCUGAACCUAACGUUGCAUGAAGGAAGAAACAGUAAGCGAAUAGAUGUGGUGUUUGAUGUGUACUGGAAAACAUCAAACAAGAAUGCUGAGAGAUACAAUCGUGGUUCAGCAAGUAGCACUCAAUGGAAGAACAUUGCCCCGGGACACAAUGUAGUGCAGUGGGGAAAGCUGGUAAGUAAUACAGACAGUAAAACAGCCUUGAUAACUUACCACUCCCAAACUUGUGUUUAGGAAACAGGACAUUCCAAGAGUCCUUCAAAUCCCUGGGAACAUCCUGGGAUGUAUCAGAGGAAUUAUAGAUCAUCAUGGAAUCAAUUUGCACCAUUGUCUAGUGUAUGUGAUUAUCUACGUUACCUGCUAUUCUUUACCAAAAGGGGUGAAGUGGAUUCCAGCCUACUUCCCCCUUGCAGGGACUGCUUAAAGCUGCAUAUACAGCGUGCCAAUUGCCAGGCAGCUGUCUGGAGGCACUGUCUGGAAGGACAGCCAGACAUACCUGAACCAAAAGGACAUGGAUGGACAACUGAUGACAAAGGUAUGCUGAUGUUAGAUUGGAUGCGGGGACCCCCACCACCAAUGGCUGUUCUGGAGCUUAUGGCUUAAGUGUUCACGGACUUGCAAGCUUCCUGACUGUUCCUGUCUUGCCAACAAAUUAAAGUGCACAGAAAUGUGCAAGCUACAAACCUGUAGCAAUCAGAGGGAGGAGGAGCAUACCGAUGUCAUGAAACUGGUUGAAUAUGAUGACGACGACGAUGAUGAUGAUGAUAAAUAAAUAAACAGAAACAGUUUGCAAUGACCAAAUAAGUUUAUGAACAAGGUAGAAUUAUUUUGUUUUUCUUUGUAUGACAUGUUCUGUUCAAAUAAAGAUUUUUUUCAUUCUUCGGCUCAACAGUUGGUGUCAUUGAAGGCUGAUUUCUGUGACAAAGCUACCACUAAAAAGGUUAUCAUGUUGUAAUAUCAUCUAGAGUGGUUCCCAAACCGGUCCUGGAGGAC
Long non-coding RNA from Ctenopharyngodon idella (grass carp), 5192 nucleotides. RefSeq lists it as uncharacterized. Lineage: Eukaryota; Metazoa; Chordata; Actinopteri; Cypriniformes; Xenocyprididae. The transcript has 2 exons. The record is from RefSeq and is a predicted model, not a curated record.